This 487-nucleotide ribosomal RNA is filed under the name Streptococcus sanguinis. RNAcentral describes it as "bacterial SSU rRNA". It matches the Rfam family "Bacterial small subunit ribosomal RNA", at positions 28 to 497 of the family's 1533-position model. The record is from RNAcentral. Lineage: Bacteria; Bacillati; Bacillota; Bacilli; Lactobacillales; Streptococcaceae.
GACGAACGCUGGCGGCGUGCCUAAUACAUGCAAGUAGAACGCUGAAGAGAAGAGCUUGCUCUUCUUGGAUGAGUUGCGAACGGGUGAGUAACGCGUAGGUAACCUGCCUGGUAGCGGGGGAUAACUAUUGGAAACGAUAGCUAAUACCGCAUAAAAUUGAUUAUUGCAUGAUAAUUAAUUGAAAGAUGCAAUUGCAUCACUACCAGAUGGACCUGCGUUGUAUUAGCUAGUUGGUGAGGUAACGGCUCACCAAGGCGACGAUACAUAGCCGACCUGAGAGGGUGAUCGGCCACACUGGGACUGAGACACGGCCCAGACUCCUACGGGAGGCAGCAGUAGGGAAUCUUCGGCAAUGGGGGGAACCCUGACCGAGCAACGCCGCGUGAGUGAAGAAGGUUUUCGGAUCGUAAAGCUCUGUUGUAAGAGAAGAACGGGUGUGAGAGUGGAAAGUUCACACUGUGACGGUAUCUUACCAGAAAGGGACGGC